RNAcentral lists this ribosomal RNA (447 nucleotides) under uncultured bacterium. RNAcentral describes it as "bacterial SSU rRNA". It matches the Rfam family "Bacterial small subunit ribosomal RNA", at positions 329 to 792 of the family's 1533-position model. The record is from RNAcentral.
GCCCAGACUCCUACGGGAGGCAGCAGUGGGGGAUAUUGCACAAUGGGGGGAACCCUGAUGCAGCGACGCCGCGUGGGUGAAGGAGUGCUUCGGCAUGUAAAGCCCUCUCGGCAGGGAAGAAGCAAGACGGUACCUGUCGAAUAAGCCACGGCUAACUACGUGCCAGCAGCCGCGGUAAUACGUAGGUAGCAAGCGUUGUCCGGAUUUACUGGGUGUAAAGGGCGUGUAGCCGGGCUGACAAGUCAGAUGUGAAAUCCGGGGGCUCAACCCCCGAACUGCAUUUGAAACUGUUGGUCUUGAGUAUCGGAGAGGCAGGCGGAAUUCCUAGUGUAGCGGUGAAAUGCGUAGAUAUUAGGAGGAACACCAGUGGCGAAGGCGGCCUGCUGGGCUUUUACUGACGCUGAGGCUCGAAAGUGUGGGGAGCAAACAGGAUUAGAUACCCCAGUA